CAGCAGCCGCGGUAAUACAGAGGGUGCGAGCGUUAAUCGGAUUUACUGGGCGUAAAGCGUGCGUAGGCGGCUUCUUAAGUCGGAUGUGAAAUCCCUGAGCUUAACUUAGGAAUUGCAUUCGAUACUGGGAAGCUAGAGUAUGGGAGAGGAUGGUAGAAUUCCAGGUGUAGCGGUGAAAUGCGUAGAGAUCUGGAGGAAUACCGAUGGCGAAGGCAGCCAUCUGGCCUAAUACUGACGAUGAGGUACGAAAGCAUGGGGAGCAAACAGGAUUAGAUACCCGCGUAGUCCCUGUCUCUUAUAC
Molecule: ribosomal RNA, 301 nt
Filed under: uncultured bacterium
Lineage: Bacteria
Description: partial 16S ribosomal RNA
Rfam family: Bacterial small subunit ribosomal RNA
Source: RNAcentral